AGAGUUUGAUCCUGGCUCAGGACGAACGCUGGCGGCGUGCUUCAUACAUGCAAGUCGAACGCGAAUCGGUAGCUUGCUACCGAGGAAAGUGGCGGACGGGUGAGUAAUGUGUAGAGAAUCUGCCCUAGAGGGGGGGACAACAGCUGGAAACGGUUGCUAAUACCCCAUAUGAGCGUAUCUGAAAUGGUAUUCUUGAAAACUCCGGUGCUCUAGGAUGAGUCUGCAUCUGAUUAGCUAGUUGGGGGUGUAAUGGACCACCAAGGCGACGAUCAGUAGCUGGUUUGAGAGGAUGAUCAGCCACAAUGGGACUGAGACACGGCCCAUACUCCUACGGGAGGCAGCAGUAGGGAAUUUUGCGCAAUGGGCGAAAGCCUGACGCAGCAACGCCGCGUGAUUGAUAAAGCCCUUCGGGGUGUAAAGAUCUGUCAGUGGGGACGAAACUUGACGGUACCCACAGAGGAAGCACCGGCUAACUCCGUGCCAGCAGCCGCGGUAAUACGGAGGGUGCAAGCGUUGUCCGGAAUCAUUGGGCGUAAAGAGUUCGUAGGUGGUUUGUUAAGUUUGGUGUUAAAUGCAGAGGCUCAACUUCUGUUCGGCAUCGGAUACUGGCAGACUAGAAUGCGGUAGAGGUAAAGGGAAUUCCUGGUGUAGCGGUGAAAUGCGUAGAUAUCAGGAGGAACAUCGGUGGCGUAAGCGCUUUACUGGGCCGUAAUUGACACUGAGGAACGAAAGCCAGGGUAGCAAAUGGGAUUAGAUACCCCAGUAGUCCUGGCCGUAAACGAUGGAUACUAGGUGUUGCGGGUAUCGACCCCUGCAGU
RNAcentral lists this ribosomal RNA (818 nucleotides) under human gut metagenome. RNAcentral describes it as "bacterial SSU rRNA". It matches the Rfam family "Bacterial small subunit ribosomal RNA", at positions 8 to 844 of the family's 1533-position model. The record is from RNAcentral.